RNAcentral lists this ribosomal RNA (499 nucleotides) under uncultured bacterium. RNAcentral's name for it is "partial 16S ribosomal RNA". It matches the Rfam family "Bacterial small subunit ribosomal RNA", at positions 28 to 507 of the family's 1533-position model. The record is from RNAcentral.
GACGAACGCUGGCGGCGUGCUUAACACAUGCAAGUCGAACGGGCCCGCUCUCUUUUUUGGGGGUGGGUUGAGUGGCGAACGGGUGAGUAUCACGUGAGUAACCUGCCCCCUGCUCCUGGAUAACUGCUUGAAAGGGCGGCUAAUACGGGGUGUGCCGGCUGGUCCGCAUGGGGCUGGUCGGGAUAGUUUCAUCUUCGGGUGUUUCGGCGGGGGAUGGGCUCGCGGCCUAUCAGCUUGUUGGGGGGGUGAUGGCCCACCAAGGCGGGGACGGGUAGCCGGCCUGAGAGGGUGGGCGGCCAGACUGGGACUGAGACACGGCCCAGACUCCGGCGGGAGGCAGCAGGGGGGGGUAGGGCACAAUGGGCGGAAGCCUGAUGCAGCGACGUCGCGUGAGGGAUGGAGGCCUUCGGGGUGUGAAACUCUUUCUCCGGGGGUGAAGGCCCUGUCCGUUGCGGCGGGGUUGACGGUAGCCGGGGAUGAAGCGCCGGCUAACUACGUG